This 865-nucleotide long non-coding RNA is filed under the name Homo sapiens (human). RNAcentral's name for it is "uncharacterized LOC107986178, transcript variant 2 (LOC107986178)". The record is from RNAcentral. Lineage: Eukaryota; Metazoa; Chordata; Mammalia; Primates; Hominidae.
ACUUAGACAGACUAUGAAGAGAUACAUAGGGUGAGAAACGGAGGCCUUCAGCCAACAGCUGGGAGAAGCUGAGUCCCAUCAGCCAUUCAAAAGACUGCAGCCCCAGCCAAGAGUUUGAUGUAACCUCAGGAGAGACCCUGAGCCAGAACCACCUAGGCCAACGAGCUAUACCUAGUGAUUCCAAAGUCCACAUAUAUUUACUCUGUUCUCACUGUACAAAGUAACCACUCUGAAGUCAAAAAAGCUGGGAUACAUGAAGACUGCCAUCCCUUGAGUCACUUGCCCUGUAGCUGCCACUGUUGGAAAAGGGCUUGCUUCUGUGUCCUUGUGCCCACUUUGAAAAUCCCUGGGAAGUCCUUGGAGUCAGAUGAGCAGGCCUCCGCCACUCUGCCAAAAAGUCUGUUCAGAAGUUUCACAUCACUAGAGAAGAGAGAAGAAGGACAUUUGUACUGGGAGGAGUCGACCGGUCCCAGUAAGGAGAAAGUAGCUACAGCGUCAUGGGUGAGCUGGGUCCCCCAAAAAGGAACUUUAAGGGAAUGGACUGAAUCAAGUCUGAGAUGUCCCCAAAGCAAGACCAAAGAACUGAGGAAGAGAAGCAUUCAUCAGAAACCAAAAUUCAGCUACAAGUGAGCAUCCAGAUGGAGGUAUUAUGAAGAGGAACUGAGACUGAGGGCAAAAGGUGCCAGCCAGAAUCCUGGAUAGGAGAGCAAGAACCAGGACCUCAUUUAAGAGACAACCUGCUUAAGGCAGAGUAAGCACAAAUGGGCACUCAACAUCAAUGAAGUAACAGCAAAGUCACAUAAUAAAAGCAUGGAAUUAAGACAAGCUGAAGAUUCGGAUGCAAUAAAACAACCACCCAUUAUUA